GUCAAGAUGGUCGAGUGGUCUAAGGCAUCAGACUCAAGUUCUAGUCCUCGAGAUAGGGUGUGAGUUCAAAUCCUACUUAUAACA
RNAcentral lists this transfer RNA (84 nucleotides) under Vitis vinifera (wine grape). RNAcentral's name for it is "tRNA-Leu". It matches the Rfam family "tRNA". Rfam says of the family: Transfer RNA (tRNA) molecules are approximately 80 nucleotides in length. The record is from RNAcentral. Lineage: Eukaryota; Viridiplantae; Streptophyta; Magnoliopsida; Vitales; Vitaceae.